GCUCCUGUAGUGUAGUCCGGCCAAUCAUCCUACCCUCUCACGGUAGGGACCCGGGUUCGAAUCCCGGCGGGAGCA
RNAcentral lists this transfer RNA (75 nucleotides) under Candidatus Woesearchaeota archaeon. RNAcentral describes it as "tRNA-Glu". It matches the Rfam family "tRNA". Rfam says of the family: Transfer RNA (tRNA) molecules are approximately 80 nucleotides in length. Their secondary structure includes four short double-helical elements and three loops (D, anti-codon, and T loops). Further hydrogen bonds mediate the characteristic L-shaped molecular structure. tRNAs have two regions of fundamental functional importance: the anti-codon, which is responsible for specific mRNA codon recognition, and the 3' end, to which the tRNAs corresponding amino acid is attached (by aminoacyl-tRNA synthetases). tRNAs cope with the degeneracy of the genetic code in two manners: having more than one tRNA (with a specific anti-codon) for a particular amino acid; and 'wobble' base-pairing, i.e. permitting non-standard base-pairing at the 3rd anti-codon position. The record is from RNAcentral. Lineage: Archaea; Nanobdellati; Candidatus Woesearchaeota.